AUUGAACGCUGGCGGCAUGCUUUACACAUGCAAGUCGAACGGUAACAGGUUAAGCUGACGAGUGGCGAACGGGUGAGUAAUGCAUCGGAACGUGCCCGGUCGUGGGGGAUAACGCAGCGAAAGCUGCGCUAAUACCGCAUACGAUCUGAGGAUGAAAGCGGGGGACCGUAAGGCCUCGCGCGAUCGGAGCGGCCGAUGUCAGAUUAGGUAGUUGGUGGGGUAAAGGCUCACCAAGCCGACGAUCUGUAGCUGGUCUGAGAGGACGACCAGCCACACUGGGACUGAGACACGGCCCAGACUCCUACGGGAGGCAGCAGUGGGGAAUUUUGGACAAUGGGCGCAAGCCUGAUCCAGCAAUGCCGCGUGCAGGAAGAAGGCCUUCGGUUGUAAACUGCUUUGUACGGAGCGAAAGGUACGUUUCCUAAUACGGAGGCUGAUGACGGUACCGUAAGAAUAAGCACCGGCUAACUACGUGCCAGCAGCCGCGGUAACU
Molecule: ribosomal RNA, 493 nt
Filed under: uncultured bacterium
Lineage: Bacteria
Description: bacterial SSU rRNA
Rfam family: Bacterial small subunit ribosomal RNA
Source: RNAcentral